RNAcentral lists this long non-coding RNA (301 nucleotides) under Helianthus annuus (common sunflower). Its description in RNAcentral is "hypothetical non coding rna". Lineage: Eukaryota; Viridiplantae; Streptophyta; Magnoliopsida; Asterales; Asteraceae. The record is from RNAcentral.
AUGAGGGGGGAUAAACGAAGUGGAUAUCGCGCCAGUGUGAAAUUGAUCGCUCCCGAAAUUAUAUUUUUGACGGUGGAGGGAUUUGAGAAUAAAGGUUGCCAAAUUUAACCAACUCUUCAACAUCGUGAUGGAUCGCAGUGAUGGGGGCGGAGGCGGAAGCGAUUGACGAGGCCCUUUGCGAGUACCAAACGCUCAAUGGUGGAAGAUUUACGCACAUGUCAGCCUGACAUAUACUAAGAAAGCAUCCUAGUUGGUUUAAAUAUCAAUUAUGUGUUUGUUUAAUAUCAAAUAUGUAUUGGUU